RNAcentral lists this transfer RNA (68 nucleotides) under marine eukaryotic metagenome. It matches the Rfam family "tRNA". Rfam says of the family: Transfer RNA (tRNA) molecules are approximately 80 nucleotides in length. Their secondary structure includes four short double-helical elements and three loops (D, anti-codon, and T loops). Further hydrogen bonds mediate the characteristic L-shaped molecular structure. tRNAs have two regions of fundamental functional importance: the anti-codon, which is responsible for specific mRNA codon recognition, and the 3' end, to which the tRNAs corresponding amino acid is attached (by aminoacyl-tRNA synthetases). tRNAs cope with the degeneracy of the genetic code in two manners: having more than one tRNA (with a specific anti-codon) for a particular amino acid; and 'wobble' base-pairing, i.e. permitting non-standard base-pairing at the 3rd anti-codon position. The record is from RNAcentral.
GGGUAUAGCUCAGUUGGUAGAGCACCGGUCUCCAAAACCGGGUGUCGGGGGUUCGAGUCCCUCUGCCC